UCCUACGGGAGGCAGCAGUGGGGAAUAUUGCACAAUGGGGGAAACCCUGAUGCAGCCAUGCCGCGUGUGUGAAGAAGGCCUUCGGGUUGUAAAGCACUUUCAGUAGGGAGGAAGGUAGUGUAGUUAACACCUGCAUUAUUUGACGUUACCUACAGAAGAAGCACCGGCUAACUCCGUGCCAGCAGCCGCGGUAAUACGGAGGGUGUGAGCGUUAAUCGGAAUUACUGGGCGUAAAGCGCAUGCAGGCGGCCUGUUAAGUCAGAUGUGAAAGCCCGGGGCUUAACCUCGGAAUUGCAUUUGAAACUGGCAGGCUAGAGUCUUGUAGAGGGGGGUAGAAUUUCAGGUGUAGCGGUGAAAUGCGUAGAGAUCUGAAGGAAUACCAGUGGCGAAGGCGGCCCCCUGGACAAAGACUGACGCUCAGAUGCGAAAGCGUGGGGAGCAAACAGGAUUAGAUACCCUGGUAGUCCACGCCGUAAACGAUGUCUACUUGGAGGUUGUGGCCUUGAGCCGUGGCUUUCGGAGCUAACGCGUUAAGUAGACCGCCUGGGGAGUACGGUCGCAAGAUUAAAACUCAAAUGAAUUGACGGA
This 588-nucleotide ribosomal RNA is filed under the name uncultured bacterium. RNAcentral describes it as "bacterial SSU rRNA". It matches the Rfam family "Bacterial small subunit ribosomal RNA", at positions 337 to 917 of the family's 1533-position model. The record is from RNAcentral.